AUUGGUUUGUUCCCUUAGGCUGGCUUGGUCUGGGUUCAUCAUGGCUGCCACACUUCCAGGAGUCACACUCAAACAACAUUCAGAGGAAGAAAAGGGCUGUUUCUCUUCCCCUGUUUCUUUUUAAGAACAAAGAAAUGUUUUCCAGAGGCCCCAAGCAGACUUUUCUGGACAUCUCAUUGGCCUGGAAAGUGUCCUGUGCCCAUUUCUAAGAAUCACUGGCAAGAGUGAUGGAACAAUCACCAUGUUUCCCUUAGACAAGUCCAGACUGAGCCUAUGGGCAUCCCAAAGGUUCUGCCUCUUUGCCCAGCGCGUAUGAUUCAGCCGAGGGUGUUGUUGAAAUGCAGGCUCUGGCCCAGUAAGGCUGGGGUAGGGCCUGAGAUUCUGCCUUCCUAGCAAGCUCCGCCGAUGCCCGUGCAGCUGCUUUGUGGCCCACACUUAGAGCUGCAAGGCCCUGAUCUCUGCAAACUGGCGGGAAGGACACGCCCCCACUCGAAGCCCCUCUGCUGGCCCUUGGAGCAGUGUAUCCUGGAUUCAAAGGACCAGAAAAAGAGCAGUUGGAGGGUGUGAGGAUGAAAGGGGACCUGCCACCUCGCUUUACAUGUGGUGGAACCCAGGCCUCCUCAGUGCAGGAAGGAACUUGUUCAAGAUCUCACAGCAUUUCAGUGACAAAGUCAAGACUCGGGCCUCCUGCAUAGGAAAAAGAAAAGCGAAACAAAAACUAAACAAAAACGAAAACUAGAAAAGAUACUCACUGAGGUGUUUGCUGGGCUUCCUCUGGGCUCCUUUGAUGUCUUUCCUGUAUUUUUAUAUAUAUUUUUUGACAAUGAACAUGUACCAAUUUUGUAAUAAGAAAAAAUUACCUUUAAUAAAAGAAAAU
This 877-nucleotide long non-coding RNA is filed under the name Equus asinus (donkey). RNAcentral's name for it is "lncRNA (ENSEASG00005031956.1)". Lineage: Eukaryota; Metazoa; Chordata; Mammalia; Perissodactyla; Equidae. The record is from RNAcentral.